Colius striatus (speckled mousebird) is the source of this 1850-nucleotide long non-coding RNA. RefSeq lists it as uncharacterized. Lineage: Eukaryota; Metazoa; Chordata; Aves; Coliiformes; Coliidae. The transcript has 4 exons. The record is from RefSeq and is a predicted model, not a curated record.
UCGGCCUGCGCGCGCCGCCUCCGCGGCGUCCCGCUUGGCCCCGAUCGGCCCCGGAGCCCCCCAGAAGCUGCGGCUCCCGCUCUCCUCGCCAACGCCAAGUGAAGAAACGCCAGGUUUGCUUCUUAGAGGAACCCUGGGGCCAGCAUGUUACUUAAGAGGCUGGUUCAGUCCCUGAGAGCCUGAGGCUCUAAGUUGCUGCUGGACAGAAGGCUGGAGGGGCACAAGAAGUUGGGAGAGAACACAGCCAGGACAGCUUACCUAAGCUGGCCAAAGGAUAUUCCAUACCAUAUGACAUCAUGCCUGGGGGCAAGAUAGCUGGGAGUGGCUGAUCACUGAUCAGGGAAUGACAAGCAUCAGUCAGCACGAGAAAUGGCUUCACACAAACCCAUGACAACAGUUUUCCUAAAAAGCCUUUGUACAACACCAAUCUGCACAGCUGUAAGCAAACUUUCCUAAUCUGCUAGGGUUUUUACUAGACAAAAGAAAGUUAUGACAGGGAAUAGCAAGGAAAUUCCACCCUGCCUGACUACCUGUAGUUGUAGAAAGCACAGGGAAAAAGAAAAUACACAAGCAGUCUCCUCCUUUCCCUAAAUAAGCAAACAAUGGAAAGGUAAAUUUUUUGAUAUGUAACUCUUCUGCCACUCAAUUAUAUUAAUCUCUGCUUGCCAUGUUCUUCUGGCGUUAAUUCCUUAUUUGUUGUUGCAGUUCCCUGAUAGGCUAUGAUUUUUAACAGAGAAAAUGAUAUCUGAAAGAAUGUGAAUGUGGAUUACUCCACUUUCAUCUUGUCUUGGCAAGCAUAAGCUAAUCAGUAGUCUAUGCACCUGGAAUGCAUUCUUUUUCUCAUGAAUUUUACAGAGCAGAUAGCACCAGUGGAACUUGACUUGAGGCAUCAGAAGCUGAAAAAUAAAGAGAUUAUGGUUGCUGGGGUUGAACAACAGUCACUUAUUUGAAAUGCCAAUUACAAAAGGAGAAAAAAAAUGAUAACACUGAGGACAGCUCAUGUGGUGUCCUUGAAAAAAAGAGACUGAAAGUUAUUAAUUUAUAUCUGCUUUAACAACUUUCACCUUGGAAACCUAAAAAGCAGUAAGACAAAAUCAGAGACUUCAAAUGUCCACACUGCCCACAUCUGUUGAAUUUCAUAGGAAUCUCACAUAAGUGCACUGGGGUUAGCAUUCAGCUUCUUCCUGCAAACACUGAACUUCCACUAAAGUUAAAAUUAAUUCAGGCAGUUGGGGUAAAAGGUCAUAGUACACCUAGCUGCAAUGUUCCUGCUGUUUUGGGAAUCAAACCACAGGCAAUCUGCAAAAACAAGCCCAAUGGUAUGUACCAUCUGGGAGACAGAACAAAUACACUAUAAAGGAAAUGUGGCUCUGCAGCUAUGGAACUCCAGCUGAAGUCAUCCUGAGCUUAACUGUCCUGCUAGGAGAAGAAUCUGUACUCUGAAGCAAUGGAGGGGAAGUGACUGUUUAUGGAGGUGAUGCAUGAGAAAGAAAUUUCUGCUAAGUAAGGCUUGCAGACUUCAUUUUUAUUGUUGUUAAUGUGAAUGGACCAUUUAAAUAUGGAACUGUAAAUGUAUGUAUUUGUGGUCAAACAUCUGUGAAGGAACACAAAGAGUUAAAAAUGCAUAGAAAAGCUUUAGAGAAAAAACAUGGCAAACCACCAGAACUUAUUUCAUUCAUUCAAUUUGUUUGGUUCUUAUAUUGGUCUGUAACCUUGGCUUCAAACCUUCUUCCCAGGGAUGUGCACCUUUCAGACAAAGUCACCCACUUCUGACUUCUCAGCACUCACAGGCUCUAAGUGAGCAGCAUAUUUUGUUCUGUGCCAGAAUUAAAGUGAUUCCUGUGCCUGAA